UCAAUCCAAAAAAUUAAGACACCCACAGACGCGGGUGCAGGGCUUCAGAUCACCCCCACUGUCCGGUGUGGGGAGGUGAAACCCAGGCCCCGACAGCG
RNAcentral lists this small nucleolar RNA (98 nucleotides) under Sorex araneus (European shrew). RNAcentral describes it as "Small nucleolar RNA ACA64 (ENSSARG00000019349.1)". The stretch from base 14 to 98 matches the Rfam family "Small nucleolar RNA ACA64". The record is from RNAcentral. Lineage: Eukaryota; Metazoa; Chordata; Mammalia; Eulipotyphla; Soricidae.